This 438-nucleotide ribosomal RNA is filed under the name uncultured Domibacillus sp. Its description in RNAcentral is "bacterial SSU rRNA". It matches the Rfam family "Bacterial small subunit ribosomal RNA", at positions 338 to 768 of the family's 1533-position model. The record is from RNAcentral. Lineage: Bacteria; Bacillati; Bacillota; Bacilli; Caryophanales; Bacillaceae.
CCUACGGGAGGCAGCAGUAGGGAAUCUUCCGCAAUGGACGAAAGUCUGACGGAGCAACGCCGCGUGAGUGAUGAAGGUUUUCGGAUCGUAAAACUCUGUUGUUAGGGAAGAACACGUACGGGAGUAACUGUCCGUACCUUGACGGUACCUGACCAGAAAGCCACGGCUAACUACGUGCCAGCAGCCGCGGUAAUACGUAGGUGGCAAGCGUUGUCCGGAAUUAUUGGGCGUAAAGCGCGCGCAGGCGGUCUUUUAAGUCUGAUGUGAAAGCCCACGGCUCAACCGUGGAGGGUCAUUGGAAACUGGAAGACUUGAGUGCAGAAGAGAAGAGCGGAAUUCCACGUGUAGCGGUGAAAUGCGUAGAGAUGUGGAGGAACACCAGUGGCGAAGGCGGCUCUUUGGUCUGUAACUGACGCUGAGGCGCGAAAGCGUGGGGAG